UACGAAGGGGGCUAGCGUUGUCGGAAUCACUGGGCGUAAAGGGCGCGUAGGCGGCCGAUCAAGUUGGGGGUGAAAGCCUGUGGCUCAACCACAGAAUUGCCUUCGAUACUGUUUGGCUUGAGACCGGAAGAGGUUAGUGGAACUGCGAGUGUAGAGGUGAAAUUCGUAGAUAUUCGCAAGAACACCAGUGGCGAAGGCGGCUGACUGGUCCGGUUCUGACGCUGAGGCGCGAAAGCGUGGGGAGCAAACAGG
Molecule: ribosomal RNA, 252 nt
Filed under: uncultured bacterium
Lineage: Bacteria
Description: partial 16S ribosomal RNA
Rfam family: Bacterial small subunit ribosomal RNA
Source: RNAcentral